This 403-nucleotide ribosomal RNA is filed under the name uncultured bacterium. RNAcentral's name for it is "partial 16S ribosomal RNA". It matches the Rfam family "Bacterial small subunit ribosomal RNA", at positions 30 to 526 of the family's 1533-position model. The record is from RNAcentral.
AUUGAACGCUGGCGGCAGGCCUAACACAUGCAAGUCGAGCGAGCGGAGGACGGGUGAGGAAUGUAGGGGGACUGCCCGAUAGAGGGGGAUAACUACUGGAAACGGAAGCUAAUACAGAAUCCUAACGGAUAACCCAUAUGGGAGUAGCUAGUAGGUGAGGUAAUGGCUCACCUAGGCGACGAUACCUAGCUGGUCUGAGAGGAUGAUCAGCCACACUGGGACUGAGACACGGCCCAGACUCCUACGGAGGCAGCAGUGGGGGAUAUUGCACAAUGGGCGCAAGCCUGAUGCAGCCAUUCCGCGUGUAUGAAGAAGGCCCUAGGGUUGUAAAGUACUUUCAGUCGGGAGGCGUUACCGACAGAAGAAGCACCGGCUAACUCCGUGCCAGCAGCCGCGGUAAUAC